GUGGGGAAUAUUGGACAAUGGGGGGAACCCUGAUCCAGCCAUGCCGCGUGUGUGAAGAAGGCCUUUUGGUUGUAAAGCACUUUAAGCGAGGAGGAGGCUACCGAGAUUAAUACUCUUGGAUAGUGGACGUUACUCGCAGAAUAAGCACCGGCUAACUCUGUGCCAGCAGCCGCGGUAAUACGAAGGGUGCAAGCGUUAAUCGGAAUUACUGGGCGUAAAGCGCGCGUAGGUGGCCAAUUAAGUCAAAUGUGAAAUCCCCGAGCUUAACUUGGGAAUUGCAUUCGAUACUGGUUGGCUAGAGUAUGGGAGAGGAUGGUAGAAUUCCAGGUGUAGCGGUGAAAUGCGUAGAGAUCUGGAGGAAUACCGAUGGCGAAGGCAGCCAUCUGGCCUAAUACUGACACUGAGGUGCGAAAGCAUGGGGAGCAAACAGGAUUAGAAACCCUAGUAGUCC
This 451-nucleotide ribosomal RNA is filed under the name uncultured bacterium. RNAcentral's name for it is "partial 16S ribosomal RNA". It matches the Rfam family "Bacterial small subunit ribosomal RNA", at positions 354 to 796 of the family's 1533-position model. The record is from RNAcentral.